AGCACCGGCUAACUCCGUGCCAGCAGCCGCGGUAAUACGGAGGGUGCAAGCGUUAAUCAGAAUUACUGGGCGUAAAGAGCACGUAGGCGGAUUUUUAAGUUAGAUGUGAAAUCCCUAGGCUCAACCUAGGAACUGCAUUUAAAACUAAUAAUCUAGAGUAUCGUAGAGGGAGGUAGAAUUCCAGGUGUAGCGGUGAAAUGCGUAGAUAUCUGGAGGAAUACCUGUGGCGAAAGCGACCUCCUGGACGAAUACUGACGCUCAGGUGCGAAAGCAUGGGUAGCAAACAGGAUUAGAUACCCUGGUAGUCCAUGCCGUAAACGAUGUCGACUUGGAGGUUGUUUCCUUGAGAGAUGACUUCCGAAGCUAACGCAUUAAGUCGACCGCCUGGGAAGUACGGCCGCAAGGCUAAAACUCAAAUGAAUUGACGGGGGCCCGCACAAGCGGUGGAGCA
Molecule: ribosomal RNA, 451 nt
Filed under: Buchnera aphidicola (Tuberculatus kuricola)
Lineage: Bacteria; Pseudomonadati; Pseudomonadota; Gammaproteobacteria; Enterobacterales; Erwiniaceae
Description: bacterial SSU rRNA
Rfam family: Bacterial small subunit ribosomal RNA
Source: RNAcentral